ACAGCUUUUGUAAUGAACACUGAGGAUUCCAAGCUGGGGCAUGACCCUGUGGUGGGGCACACAGGGACAUGAGUCAGGAGCUCUGGGGGAUGUUCCUCAGCCUUCCAAGUGAUUCACUCUGCACAAGAGCCCAGCUUACCUUUGGCUGACUCAGAUGAGCAGCUGCAGUUUCUUUUACUUGCUUUGAAAUUAUUGCAUCCCAGUUGGGCAAGAUGUUUCUGCUACUGAGAAACAAGUGGGUUUGGAGAAAAUGCCAGAAGCAACAGAUCAGAUAAAGCCUCUUUACCUUGCUCUAGCUGGAUUAAAAAGCUGAUAAUUUUGGCUGCAGCUUUUUCAAGUGAUCCCCCAAAUGUUUCACUUUUACAGUCAGGAAAAAAGAGCUCCUGACUGUACCUAAUUGAAUAGCUUUUAAGACUACUGGUUAAACUCUAAGACUGUAUCUCAAUAAGGCAUUCAAACAAGGAUGUGAUGGCUUCCAAAACA
Long non-coding RNA from Neopsephotus bourkii (Bourke's parrot), 483 nucleotides. RefSeq lists it as uncharacterized. NCBI's taxonomy places the organism in Eukaryota, Metazoa, Chordata, Aves, Psittaciformes, Psittacidae. The record is from RefSeq and is a predicted model, not a curated record. The transcript is spliced from 2 exons.